AAGUCAUAACAAGGUUUCCGUAGGUGAACCUGCGGAAGGAUCAUUAAUAAUGCCUUGAUCUUCGGUCUAUUGGGUUCAAUGUGUGCCUUCUCUUCGGAGUUGGCCAUCCACACACACCAUGAACUGUGGCUUCGGCCAUCACAAACUAUUAGUAAUGAAUGUAAUAUCAUAACAAAAUAAAA
Molecule: unclassified non-coding RNA, 182 nt
Filed under: plant metagenome
Description: partial contains small subunit ribosomal RNA and internal transcribed spacer 1
Rfam family: Eukaryotic small subunit ribosomal RNA (bases 1-46)
Source: RNAcentral